RNAcentral lists this ribosomal RNA (1342 nucleotides) under uncultured bacterium. RNAcentral's name for it is "bacterial SSU rRNA". It matches the Rfam family "Bacterial small subunit ribosomal RNA", at positions 28 to 1387 of the family's 1533-position model. The record is from RNAcentral.
GACGAACUUUGGCGGCGCGCCUAACACAUGCAAGUCGAACGAGCGAGAGAGAGCUUGCUUUCUCGAGCGAGUGGCGAACGGGUGAGUAACGCGUGAGGAACCUGCCUCAAAGAGGGGGACAACAGUUGGAAACGACUGCUAAUACCGCAUAAGCCCCACGGCUCGGCAUCGAGCAGAGGGAAAAGGAGCAAUCCGCUUUGAGAUGGCCUCGCGUCCGAUUAGCUAGUUGGUGAGGUAACGGCCCACCAAGGCGACGAUCGGUAGCCGGACUGAGAGGUUGAACGGCCACAUUGGGACUGAGACACGGCCCAGACUCCUACGGGAGGCAGCAGUGGGGAAUAUUGCACAAUGGGGGAAACCCUGAUGCAGCGACGCCGCGUGGAGGAAGAAGGUCUUCGGAUUGUAAACUCCUGUUGUUGGGGAAGAUAAUGACGGUACCCAACAAGGAAGUGACGGCUAACUACGUGCCAGCAGCCGCGGUAAAACGUAGGUCACAAGCGUUGUCCGGAAUUACUGGGUGUAAAGGGAGCGCAGGCGGGAAGACAAGUUGGAAGUGAAAUCUAUGGGCUCAACCCAUAAACUGCUUUCAAAACUGUUUUUCUUGAGUAGUGCAGAGGUAGGCGGAAUUCCCGGUGUAGCGGUGGAAUGCGUAGAUAUCGGGAGGAACACCAGUGGCGAAGGCGGCCUACUGGGCACCAACUGACGCUGAGGCUCGAAAGUGUGGGUAGCAAACAGGAUUAGAUACCCUGGUAGUCCACACCGUAAACGAGAUUUAUAAGGUGUGGGAGGAUGACCCCCUUCAGUGCCGCAGUUAACACAAAUAAGUAAUCCACCGGGGGAGUACGACCGCAAGGUUGAAACUCAAAGGAAUUGACGGGGGCCCGCACCAAGCAGUGGAGUAUGUGGUUUAAUUCGACGCAAACGCGAAGAACCUUACCAAGUCUUGACAUCCCUUGACAGGCAUAGAAAUAUGUUUUCUCUUCGGAGCAAGGAGACAGGUGGUGCAUGGUUGUCGUCAGCUCGUGUCGUGAGAUGUUGGGUUAAGUCCCGCAACGAGCGCAACCCUUAUGGUCAGUUACUACGCAAGAGGACUCUGGCCAGACUGCCGUUGACAAAACGGAGGAAGGUGGGGAUGACGUCAAAUCAUCAUGCCCUUUAUGACUUGGGCUACACACGUACUACAAUGGCGUUAAACAAAGAGAAGCAAGACCGCGAGGUGGAGCAAAACUCAGAAACAACGUCCCAGUUCGGACUGCAGGCUGCAACUCGCCUGCACGAAGUCGGAAUUGCUAGUAAUCGUGGAUCAGCAUGCCACGGUGAAUACGUUCCCGGGCCUUGCACU